This 336-nucleotide ribosomal RNA is filed under the name uncultured bacterium. Its description in RNAcentral is "bacterial SSU rRNA". It matches the Rfam family "Bacterial small subunit ribosomal RNA", at positions 170 to 507 of the family's 1533-position model. The record is from RNAcentral.
AGUAGUAGUGGUGAGAUUGCAUGAUAACACCAUUAAAGNUUUAUGGUAACGAUGGGGAUGCGUUCCAUUAGGUAGUAGGCGGGGUAACGGCCCACCUAGCCUGCGAUGGAUAGGGGUUCUGAGAGGAAGGUCCCCCACAUUGGAACUGAGACACGGUCCAAACUCCUACGGGAGGCAGCAGUGAGGAAUAUUGGUCAAUGGGCGAGAGCCUGAACCAGCCAAGUAGCGUGAAGGAUGAAGGUCCUACGGAUUGUAAACUUCUUUUAUACGGGAAUAAAGUUUCCUACGUGUAGGAUUUUGUAUGUACCGUAUGAAUAAGCAUCGGCUAACUCCGUG